RNAcentral lists this ribosomal RNA (375 nucleotides) under uncultured organism. RNAcentral's name for it is "partial 16S ribosomal RNA". It matches the Rfam family "Bacterial small subunit ribosomal RNA", at positions 527 to 896 of the family's 1533-position model. The record is from RNAcentral.
GUAGGUGGCAAGCGUUGUCCGGGAAUUAUUGGGGCGUAAAGCGCGCGCAGGCGGUUCUUUAAGUCUGAUGUGAAAGCCCACGGGCUCAACCGUGGAGGGUCAUUGGAAACUGGAGAACUUGAGUACAGAAGAGGAAAGCGGAAUUCCACGUGUAGCGGUGAAAUGCGUAGAGAUGUGAAGGAACACCAGUGGCGAAGGCGGCUUUCUGGUCUGUAACUGACGCUGAGGCGCGAAAGCGUGGGGAGCAAACAGGAUUAGAUACCCUGGUAGUCCACGCCGUAGACGAUGAGUGCUAAGUGUUAGGGGGUUUCCGCCCCUUAGUGCUGCAGCUAACGCAUUAAGCACUCCGCCUGGGGAGUACGGCCGCAAAGGCUG